RNAcentral lists this ribosomal RNA (236 nucleotides) under uncultured bacterium. RNAcentral's name for it is "partial 16S ribosomal RNA". It matches the Rfam family "Bacterial small subunit ribosomal RNA", at positions 118 to 353 of the family's 1533-position model. The record is from RNAcentral.
UGAGGAACAUGACUUUCGGCGGGGGAUAGCCGGCCCAACGGCCGGGUAAUACCGCGUACGACCUGUUGGGGACAUCCCCGAUUGGUGAAAGCAGCAAUGCGCCGAAAGAGUGCCUCGCGGCCUAUCAGCUAGUUGGUGGGUAAUGGCUCACCAAGGCAACGAUGCGUAGCCGACUGAGAGGGUNAUCGGCCACAUUGGAACUGAGACACGGUCCAGACCUCCGUACGGGAGCAGCG